Gadus morhua (Atlantic cod) is the source of this 2000-nucleotide long non-coding RNA. RefSeq lists it as uncharacterized. The transcript has 2 exons. Lineage: Eukaryota; Metazoa; Chordata; Actinopteri; Gadiformes; Gadidae. The record is from RefSeq and is a predicted model, not a curated record.
AGGUCAGUGACCAGUUCAAAGUCAGCUGGAGGCUUAUGGUGCGUUCCAGAGCCCAUCCAAACCAGUGGGACGUGGGACUUAUCCUACCUCCAACUAAGAAAAGUGCACUGGAAUGCCUGUCGAAGUGGACCAUCCCACCGUCGAAGUGGAACCUCCUACUAUUGAACUGGGGGGUGAUCGACCUACCCCCACUUCACCAAGUAGGAGCUAGUACAGUUCAGGAAGGAUAAAUCCCACAUCCCAUUGCUUUGGAUGGGCUCUGGAAUGCACCAUUAGUGGUGUCCUGACCAGUUCAAAGUCAGCUGGAAGCUUAAUGGUGUCAUGACCAGUUCAAUCCAGCUGGUACUUAGUGGGGUCCUGACCAGUUCAAUUCAGCUGGUACUUAAUGGGGUCCUGAACAGUGGUCUCUCCCCAGGCGUUGGGGGAAACCUGGUGGCCAUCCAGGCCAGCAGGAUCGCCGCAUACCUCCACCCCUGCAGCGCUCCGGGGACCCUGCCCCCCGACAUGGCCAGCAACAGGCCUGACCCCUGCACCAACUUCUGCUCUGAAGGGUGAACUCCAGGUCGGGCAGGUUCCUGCUGUUUCUGGUGGGGCCGGGUCACCUGCUGUUCCUCUACACCACCCGUCUCUUCCAAGGGGGCCACGCCACCCUCACCCCUGCCUUCACCCUCUGGUCCCUGGGGGCCCCACUCCUCCAGGUCAGACCUUCACCCUCGGGUCCCUGGGGGCCCCGCUCCUCCAGGUCAGACCUUCACCCUCGGGUCCCUGGGGGCCCCCCUCCUCCAGGUCAGACCUUCACCCUCGGGUCCCUGGGGGCCCCCCUCCUCCAGGUCAGACCUUCACCCUCUGGUCCCUGGGGGCCCCCUCCUCCAGGUCAGACCUUCACCCUCGGGUCCCUGGGGGCCCCCUCCUCUAGGUCAGACCUUCACCCUCUGGUCCCUGGGGGCCCCCUACUCUAGGUCAGCCCAAAGCUGCGUUCGGGAUUCGUCCCAAGCUAGUACAAAAGGGCCCAACUUUGUCAGAAGAUGAACCGUGAUCCUCCAUGUGCGGAAUUUGAGCUGAAUCAUAUCAGAACCCAGAUCUCUUUCAACAUAAGCACGACUAUACACACUGCAAAGUAAAAACCAAACUGUUAAAAUUAUGAUUUUAUAUAAUGCCUACUACCUUCUACAAUAUAUUAGACUCUAGCUAACUUGCCAGUUUGACCUUGGAUUGGCGAUCUUAAGAGGCCCUCAUUAAUCAACAUGAAUCCUAAGCAGCAGCGAUCACAAUAGCAGCAGCAGGAGCCUGUAGUCAGUGAGAGGGAUCGGACAGCUAAGUAUGGGGUGCAUUCCAUUUCACCCACUGGCAGAGGCCUAUAACUACCCCGCAGGACACAGACGUUAUGCACAGCACUAUGUAUUUUUCUUCAAGCUCAUUUUCUUUAAAUACAUCUUCAGCGGCACUCCAAAUUAGAGGGAUGGCCCCGUGGUAUGACUAUCUUUAGCUCUUGUGAGUUAGAACAGACGUUUACUUUGAAAGAGGAUGAUUUGUGCAUUGGCUGACGUAGCUAUGUGUUGGAGGUUCUUCCAAUGACCCAGGUGGUGCUGCUGCUCUACAGGGCCGACCUGAUGGUGCGCUGGAUGUGGAGCCGCAGGGUGGUCCCUGAUUCCUCCUCCAUCCCCUACCUGACCACCCUGGGGUAGGCCUGCACGAUUGGGGGAAAUUAAUCACGAUAUUUUUAGCUUAGGUAUCAGGAUUUGAUGUUGCGAUUUUUUUCUCACAAAAUGUAAUUUUUAUUGCAAACAUGAACCACAAACAAAAAAAAAAAAUAGGAGUACCAAAAAUAGUUUUUUGCCACCUCUAGCACGUUGCGUUUCAUAUGGCCCUUUAUUUUAUUGAUUAAAGUGCAGCAUCAAAAACGGAAUGAUUUAUUUUGUACAUAUAGCAGCAGAUUGUCUUUAAUUGCUGGCCUUUUAUAACUACUGAACCAACUCUACACACCUGUAAAUUAAGGCUUA